AUGCUUAACACAUGCAAGUCGAACGAGACCUUCGGGUCUAGUGGCGCACGGGUGCGUAACGCGUGGGAAUCUGCCCUUUGCUACGGAAUAACUCAGAGAAAUUUGUGCUAAUACCGUAUAAUGUCGUAAGACCAAAGAUUUAUCGGCAAAGGAUGAGCCCGCGUAAGAUUAGCUUGUUGGUGAGGUAAAGGCUCACCAAGGCGACGAUCUUUAGCUGGUCUGAGAGGAUGAUCAGCCACACUGGGACUGAGACACGGCCCAGACUCCUACGGGAGGCAGCAGUGGGGAAUAUUGGACAAUGGGCGAAAGCCUGAUCCCAGCAAUGCCGCGUGAGUGAUGAAGGCCUUAGGGUUGUAAAGCUCUUUUACCAGGGAUGAUAAUGACAGUACCUGGAGAAUAAGCUCCGGCUAACUCCGUG
This 418-nucleotide ribosomal RNA is filed under the name uncultured bacterium. Its description in RNAcentral is "bacterial SSU rRNA". It matches the Rfam family "Bacterial small subunit ribosomal RNA", at positions 44 to 507 of the family's 1533-position model. The record is from RNAcentral.